GUGGCGGACGGGUGAGUAAUGUCUGGGAAACUGCCUGAUGGAGGGGGAUAACUACUGGAAACGGUAGCUAAUACCGCAUAACGUCGCAAGACCAAAGAGGGGGACCUUCGGGCCUCUUGCCAUCGGAUGUGCCCAGAUGGGAUUAGCUAGUAGGUGGGGUAACGGCUCACCUAGGCGACGAUCCCUAGCUGGUCUGAGAGGAUGACCAGCCACACUGGAACUGAGACACGGUCCAGACUCCUACGGGAGGCAGCAGUGGGGAAUAUUGCACAAUGGGCGCAAGCCUGAUGCAGCCAUGCCGCGUGUAUGAAGAAGGCCUUCGGGUUGUAAAGUACUUUCAGCGGGGAGGAAGGGAGUAAAGUUAAUACCUUUGCUCAUUGACGUUACCCGCAGAAGAAGCACCGGCUAACUCCGUGCCAGCAGCCGCGGUAAUACGGAGGGUGCAAGCGUUAAUCGGAAUUACUGGGCGUAAAGCGCACGCAGGCGGUUUGUUAAGUCAGAUGUGAAAUCCCCGGGCUCAACCUGGGAACUGCAUCUGAUACUGGCAAGCUUGAGUCUCGUAGAGGGGGGUAGAAUUCCAGGUGUAGCGGUGAAAUGCGUAGAGAUCUGGAGGAAUACCGGUGGCGAAGGCGGCCCCCUGGACGAAGACUGACGCUCAGGUGCGAAAGCGUGGGGAGCAAACAGGAUUAGAUACCCUGGUAGUCCACGCCGUAAACGAUGUCGACUUGGAGGUUGUGCCCUUGAGGCGUGGCUUCCGGAGCUAACGCGUUAAGUCGACCGCCUGGGGAGUACGGCCGCAAGGUUAAAACUCAAAUGAAUUGACGGGGGCCCGCACAAGCGGUGGAGCAUGUGGUUUAAUUCGAUGCAACGCGAAGAACCUUACCUGGUCUUGACAUCCACGGAAGUUUUCAGAGAUGAGAAUGUGCCUUCGGGAACCGUGAGACAGGUGCUGCAUGGCUGUCGUCAGCUCGUGUUGUGAAAUGUUGGGUUAAGUCCCGCAACGAGCGCAACCCUUAUCCUUUGUUGCCAGCGGUCCGGCCGGGAACUCAAAGGAGACUGCCAGUGAUAAACUGGAGGAAGGUGGGGAUGAUGUCAAGUCAUCAUGGCCCUUACGACCAGGGCUACACACGUGCUACAAUGGCGCAUACAAAGAGAAGCGACCUCGCGAGAGCAAGCGGACCUCAUAAAGUGCGUCGUAGUCCGGAUUGGAGUCUGCAACUCGACUCCAUGAAGUCGGAAUCGCUAGUAAUCGUGGAUCAGAAUGCCACGGUGAAUACGUUCUCCGGUGCCUUGUACACACCGCCCGUCACACCAUGGGAGUGGGUUGCAAAAGAAG
RNAcentral lists this ribosomal RNA (1336 nucleotides) under Escherichia coli. RNAcentral's name for it is "bacterial SSU rRNA". It matches the Rfam family "Bacterial small subunit ribosomal RNA", at positions 95 to 1426 of the family's 1533-position model. The record is from RNAcentral. Lineage: Bacteria; Pseudomonadati; Pseudomonadota; Gammaproteobacteria; Enterobacterales; Enterobacteriaceae.